UAAGGGAAUGCCAUAUUUGUCCCUGGUUCCUCCUCUUUCACUCAUCCCAAUGACUGCAUAUGCCAUUCACAGUUUCACAAACUCCUACUCGGUCUGCAGGUCAUUUUACCUCUGCAGAUGACCAUCUUUCAAACAAGAGAGAAAAUAAAGCUACAAUAUUUAUGUUUCUUUCCUCUGGGUUUAGAACAAGAAAUUUCCCUCGUUUACUUUUCUUUCCAGGAUCAUCUCCAUUUGCCUCUGGAUGCCAUCCCACAAUGCCUUAUCUGAGAGUUUAAUUCUUAGCUUAAUGUCUCUCACAUAGCAUCAGUCUCUCUCUCUCUCUUUCUCUCGCUCUCCCUUCCUCCUUCUUUUCUUCCCUUAUCUCCUUCCCUUUCUCUCUCAUUUCCUUUCUUCCUCCUUACUUUCUACUCUAUCUCAUCCUCUGGUUUCUUCUCUACAGAGUACAAAAGUAUUUAAAUCUUUCUCAGCAUAAAAGACCACAAACAGUGAAAAUCUUUCUAUGUUAUUGCACUUUCCCCUAAGCCUUCUCACCUAUUAGCUUUUUCCUUUUGCUAUGCAAAUUAUUUAAUAUAAUAGACCACCUUAUCUGCCUUUAUUUUCACAAAUCUGAUGUACUUUCCAGCAUGUAUUAUGAAGGUACUGGUUUCAUCCUACUUCUUAACCAUGUUCACCACAUUUAAGACUUUUCCAUAAUCUUACGGAAGCAUUUACCAUAUUUUGCUAAAUCAGAUGGCCUAUGUUGCUUCUCAUUCUUUUGACACUCUAAUAGUAUGUGAUGUUGUUGACCAUUCCUAUUGGAAAAUAUUUUUAUGCUUCACUUCUAAGAAAUUUCUUCUUGUCUCUCCCUGCCUUUUUUAAAUUAUUCUUUUGAUAGUUUCUCCUCCCCUACUCACAGCUUAAACAUUUUGCUCUUCAGGGUCUAGUUUCUUUUGUUGUUGUUGUUGUUGUUUCACUUUACAGGUGCUUUAUGUAAUCAAACAUAAAGCAUGGCGCAAAAUGAUUUAAUAAUUUUAACCUCCUUUUACCUCUUUUAAAAAUUCAUAUUGUGUGGCCAGGCGUGGUGGCCAGGCAUGGGAUUACACCUGUAAUCCCAGCACUUUGGGAGGCCGAGGCGGGCAGAUCACGAGGUCAGGAGAUAGAGACCAUCCUGGCCAACAUGGUGAAACUCCAUCUCUACUAAAAAAAUACAAAAAAAAAAAAAAAAAAUUAGCCGGGCGUGAUGGGCGCCUGUAAUUCCCACUACUGGUCAGGCUGAGGCAGGAGAAUCGCUUGAACCCGGGGGGCGUAGCUUGCAGUGAGCCGAGAUCGCGCCACUGUACUCCAGCCUUGGCGACAGAGCCAGGCUCCAUCUCAAAAAAAGAAAAAAAAAAUUCACAUUAUGAUAUGGCUGCAAGAUUUAUGCAGUCCCAAACGUAGGAGCCUGAGUAUCUUCAUUCUCUCCUUUCCUUCAACACUCAUACAAAAUCAGGAACUAAAUCAGCCCAAUCAGUGCUUCUCAAACUCUCAAACAAACAAAAACAAAAAUAAAAACAUGUUUUUAUUUUUCUGUACCAUGCCUUCCUUUCUGUUGCUGCCCUAAUUCCAUCCAACUUUAAUGGUCAGAUAACUUACAGUAUGCUUCUUGCCCCCCUCCCCCAAUCUUGAUCUGUAUUUCUUUGUAAGUUCCUAAUAAAAAUAUGUUUUUCCACUGUCAUUCUUAUAACAAAACAACAACCUCAACCAUCUCUGACAUUUCCUGCCAACUUCUUACACUACAGUUCCCUUCAGAAAUUCACUUCAAACACAGCCAGAACUACACAUAACUCACAGAUCCUUAAAUAUAGCACUUGCUUUUGUUGCAUAAGCUGUUCCCAUGGCCUGGAAUGUCCUUUAACACCUUAACCAUAUAGGAA
This 1892-nucleotide long non-coding RNA is filed under the name Homo sapiens (human). RNAcentral's name for it is "HSALNT0204587". The record is from RNAcentral. Lineage: Eukaryota; Metazoa; Chordata; Mammalia; Primates; Hominidae.